AGAAUCAACGCUGGCGGCGUGCCUCAGACAUGCAAGUCGAACGAUUAAAGCUCUCUUCGGAGAGUGUAUAGAGUGGCGCACGGGUGAGUAACACGUAAGUAAUCUACCUUCGAGUGGGGAAUAACAUCGGGAAACCGAUGCUAAUACCGCAUAAUGCAGCGGCAUCGCAAGAUGACAGUUGUUAAAGAUUUAUCGCUUGAAGAGGAGCUUGCGGCAGAUUAGCUAGUUGGUAAGGUAAUGGCUUACCAAGGCUACGAUCUGUAACCGGUCUAAGAGGACGGUCGGUCACACUGACACUGAAUAACGGGUCAGACUCCUACGGGAGGCAGCAGUCGGGAAUUUUGGGCAAUGGGCGAAAGCCUGACCCAGCAACGCCGCGUGAAGGAUGAAGUAUUUCGGUAUGUAAACUUCGAAAGAAUGGGAAGAAUAAAUGACGGUACCAUUUAUAAGGUCCGGCUAACUACGUGCCAGCAGCCGCGGUAAUACGUAGGGACCAAGCGUUGUUCGGAUUUACUGGGCGUAAAGGGCGCGUAGGCGGCCCCGCAAGUCACUUGUGAAAUCUCCGGGCUUAACUCGGAACGGCCAAGUGAAACUGCGGAGCUAGAGUGUGGAAGGGGCAAUCGGAAUUCUUGGUGUAGCGGUGAAAUGCGUAGAUAUCAAGAGGAACACCUGAGGUGAAGACGGGUUGCUGGGCCAACACUGACGCUGAGGCGCGAAAGCCAGGGGAGCAAACGGGAUUAGAUACCCCGGUAGUCCUGGCCCUAAACGAUGAAUACUUGGUGUCUGGAGUCAUUAAUGCUCCGGGUGCCGUCGCUAACGUUUUUAGUAUCC
Molecule: ribosomal RNA, 831 nt
Filed under: uncultured bacterium
Lineage: Bacteria
Description: bacterial SSU rRNA
Rfam family: Bacterial small subunit ribosomal RNA
Source: RNAcentral